UUAUAUGUUAACAAUAUAAUGUUAAUAAUGUAACUAAUAAAAUGGGCCAAAUGAGCACAAAGGUAUCAAACUGUUGACAAAGAGAUGUGUCCCUCCUGUAUGUAAUUUUUAUAGUAAAAUGCAAAUGUUGAUAUUAAAAAUACUUAACAUGUAAACUAUGCAAAACAUUCAAAGUCAAUGUAUCAUGACUGAAGGUGUAGGAACAAAUAAGCUCCAUGAAAAUGUGAUUUACCAUUGCUAUUACACCUCUUUACCAAAUAUCAUUGACUUACCAUGGAUGGGUCCCUUUAAACUGACCUAUUCACAAACUUUAACAAUAUCACUGACAAUAGACAUCAACCUCUGUAAUAUUGAAUUUCACAGAUAUAAAAACAAGCAUUCUGAGAGUAUUUUAUGGCAAUACAGUCCCCGACCAGUUAAAAAUUAAUUGUACUGGAUCAAAAUGCUAACUUGAUCUAUAACUGGUCAAGAUGGUGUAAACUAUAUAACAAAUAUCAAGUCAAUAUCUUCAAGCAUGACGAAAAUAAAAUGCUUCGCCGAGCGCAGCCUGAUACAAACGCAGAGGUCAAAACCUGAACAGUUGGCCCAAGUUUGGACGCAAUAUUCAAGCUUGAUACUGUCUGAAUUUGGAUUGUGAACAAGUUUUUGACAUAAUAUAGGUUUCUGACACAAAAUUAUUGUAGUCAAAGAUCUUAAAAAUUUGAAAUGGGACAUUUAAUUUACCUAGAAUUGUCUGAUAUCCAAAAUCUAACAACAUGGUUUCAUUCAGCAUAUAAAAUAAACUGCUUCGCUGAGCGCAGCUGGAUACGCCCGCAGAGGUCCAACCCUGAACAGUUGAGGCAAAAAUGGACACAAUAUUCAAGCUUGAUACAGGUCUGAAUUUGGAUUGUAAUUAAAUAUUUGACAUAUUUUAGGUUUCUGAAUAAAUGUAGUCAAAGAACUUGAAAUUGGUUAUAUGAAUUGAAUUUAUAUUCAAUUAAAGAUUUCUUUUUGUUGUGCAAUACACUGUGCUGUUGCACAAUACUAGUAAAUCUGUUGUCAGACUAUAAACAAAUAAAGUUCAAUAACUUCUCAAUGUUAUAUUAGAAAUUUAUAAAAAAAACUAAAGGGAGGUUAUCUUAAUAGAUAUAAAUCAGUCAUCAAAGUUUAAUGAAAACUGCUCUAAGCACUUUAAGGAUAUUGUCCAAAAACUUGAAAAUCACCCCUUUUUUUAUGAAUAAAAUCUUGUAACUCGGAAACAUAAAAUCUAAAAUUUAUAAAAAAAUCAAAAGGGAGCUUACAACAAUAGAUAUAAACAAUUUACUAAAGUUUCAUAAAAUAUGCUGAAAGCAUUUAUGAGUUAUUGUCCAAACAGGAAUAUCCCCCUUUUUGUAACGAAUAAAACCCCAUAAAUCAGAAACAUAUAGUCUAAAAUUUAUAAAAAUCAAAAGGGAGCUCAUAUCAAUAGCAUUAAACAAUUCACCAAAGUUUUCUUGCAAAUUGGUGAAAUUGUUUUUGAGUUAUUGUCUGAAAACUGGAAAAUCCCCCCUUUUUUAAUGAAUAAAA
Long non-coding RNA from Mytilus californianus (California mussel), 1545 nucleotides. RefSeq lists it as uncharacterized. Lineage: Eukaryota; Metazoa; Mollusca; Bivalvia; Mytilida; Mytilidae. The transcript has 2 exons. The record is from RefSeq and is a predicted model, not a curated record.